UAGGGAAUCUUCGGCAAUGGGGGGAACCCUGACCGAGCAACGCCGCGUGAGUGAAGAAGGUUUUCGGAUCGUAAAGCUCUGUUGUUAAGGAAGAACGAGUGUGAGAAUGGAAAGUUCAUGCUGUGACGGUACUUAACCAGAAAGGGACGGCUAACUACGUGCCAGCAGCCGCGGUAAUACGUAGGUCCCGAGCGUUGUCCGGAUUUAUUGGGCGUAAAGCGAGCGCAGGCGGUUAGAAAAGUCUGAAGUGAAAGGCAGCGGCUCAACCAUUGUAGGCUUUGGAAACUGUUUAACUUGAGUGCAGAAGGGGAGAGUGGAAUUCCAUGUGUAGCGGUGAACUGCGUAGAUAUAUGGAGGAACACCGGUGGCGAAAGCGGCUCUCUGGUCUGUAACUGACGCUGAGGCUCGAAAGCGUGGGGAGCGAACAGG
Molecule: ribosomal RNA, 429 nt
Filed under: Bacteroidota bacterium
Lineage: Bacteria; Pseudomonadati; Bacteroidota
Description: Bacteroidetes bacterium partial 16S ribosomal RNA
Rfam family: Bacterial small subunit ribosomal RNA
Source: RNAcentral